This 496-nucleotide ribosomal RNA is filed under the name uncultured bacterium. RNAcentral's name for it is "partial 16S ribosomal RNA". It matches the Rfam family "Bacterial small subunit ribosomal RNA", at positions 28 to 506 of the family's 1533-position model. The record is from RNAcentral.
GAUGAACGCUGGCGGCGUGCCUAAUACAUGCAAGUCGAGCGAACAGACGAGGAGCUUGCUCCUCUGACGUUAGCGGCGGACGGGUGAGUAACACGUGGAUAACCUACCUAUAAGACUGGGAUAACUUCGGGAAACCGGAGCUAAUACCGGAUAAUAUAUUGAACCGCAUGGUUCAAUAGUGAAAGACGGUUUUGCUGUCACUUAUAGAUGGAUCCGCGCCGCAUUAGCUAGUUGGUAAGGUAACGGCUUACCAAGGCAACGAUGCGUAGCCGACCUGAGAGGGUGAUCGGCCACACUGGAACUGAGACACGGUCCAGACUCCUACGUGAGGCAGCAGUAGGGAAUCUUCCGCAAUGGGCGAAAGCCUGACGGAGCAACGCCGCGUGAGUGAUGAAGGUCUUCGGAUCGUAAAACUCUGUUAUUAGGGAAGAACAAAUGUGUAAGUAACUAUGCACGUCUUGACGGUACCUAAUCAGAAAGCCACGGCUAACUACGU